RNAcentral lists this ribosomal RNA (447 nucleotides) under uncultured bacterium. RNAcentral describes it as "SSU rRNA". It matches the Rfam family "Bacterial small subunit ribosomal RNA", at positions 26 to 518 of the family's 1533-position model. The record is from RNAcentral.
AGAGCGAACGCUGGCGGCAGGCCUAACACAUGCAAGUCGAGCGCCCGUAGCAAUACGGGAGCGGCAGACGGGAUAGUAACACGUGGGAACGCGCCCUUCGGUUCGGAAUAACUCAGGGAAACUUGAGCUAAUACCGAAUACGCCCUUACGGGGAAAGAUUUAUUGCCGAAGGAACGGCCCGCGUCCGAUUAGCUAGUUGGUGAGGUAAUGGCUCACCAAGGCUACGAUCGGUAGCUGGUCUGAGAGGAUGACCAGCAUCACUGGGACUGAGACACGGCCCAGACUCCUACGGGAGGCAGCAGUGGGGAAUAUUGGACAAUGGGCGAAAGCCUGAUCCAGCCAUGCCGCGUGGAUGAUGAAGGCCUUAGGGUUGUAAAGUCCUUUAACGGGGAAGAUAAUGACGGUACCCGUAGAAUAAGCCCCGGCUAACUUCGCGCCAGCAGCCGC